CUCCCAUUUAGUUAUUGUCUAUUUUAUCUGCGUUUUGGAAUGCUAAUUAUCGGUCAUUCCUAGGGUGACCAGACGUCCGGAUUUAGGCCGGACAGUCCGGAUUUUUAAUACACUGUCCGGCGUCUGGCGCAGCAUCAAGCCGGACGCAUAUUUGUCCUCCUUUUUGGAGUUGCACUGGGCCUAAAGAGCCGUGCUCUAGAAUAUUUUGCUGGAACUCAGUCUAACAAAUGAAUGGCUAAAAGCGGUGUCAAAUAAAUAUCUGAUAGGCUUAGGUUAGGUUAUAACCCUAUAUCAUUGGUUAAAAACGUAGACAAGGCUUAGUGUGCUGCUACGUCAUAUCUACGCUGCUGGCUACAUUGACAGAAAGUAAACACAUAGAAGAAAACAUGUCAAAACGUCAGACGUCGUUCAACCUAGAAUGAACAAAAGCAGUCGAGACUCCUUUCAUGGCUUCUGCACUCUCUGUCGCUGUGAUUUUGACAUAAGUAGUCAGGGUAAAGCUGCUAUUGAAAGACAUGCGGGAACAGAGAAGCAUAAAAGUAACAGACGCCGUAGGUAUCUCUUCGCUAAACAUUUUUUUUCGAGAAGGUACGUUGCCGUUGGAUAACAAAAUCUCCGCUGCUGAGCUGUGUAAGGUUUACCAUGCUGUAAAGUAAAGUACCGCGGUGUAGACUGCGGCGUGAAGGUGGACCGAGAGAUAUUUUGUGAUUCGCCCAUAGCUAAGGGGAUGAUGUGUGGCCGAACUAAAGCUCAGACUUUGUGUGCGAAUGUCCUAGCGCCCUACUCUGUAGCCUACAAAUACAUACAGAUUACAUCAAAGCAAACAAUUUGCCCUUUUCAGUGGCAACCGGUGCAUCAAACAAAGGUACGACCAAUUGUACUGAGAUAUUUGUACUUUGAGGAAGGUGUACAACAUGCCCUGUUGGAUUUUUACAGUGACAGCAACGACACUUCAGAGGCUAUAACAAACCAGCUGCUGGCUAAACUGGAGAUGUCUGGUCUAGAUGUGAAAUACAUGUCUGCAUAUGCAUUCGUUCAGAUUCAUCUAGAUGUCAAAUACAUGUCUGCAUAUGCAUUCAUUCAGAUUCAUCUAGAUGUCAAAUACAUGUCUGCAUAUGCAUUCACUCAGAUUCAUUUGUCUGUUUAUUAUUUAUUAUUUAUGUGACCUGUGAUUUAAUUUGUACAUUUUAAGUCCACAAAUGUUAUGCUUUGUGGCACUCAGCACUAAGAUUCAUCUCAGUGGUCAGUUUUUGAACACCACAACAUUUGAAUAAAUGCAAAUGCUGUGAACAAACACUUUUUGACUCUUCAAGAAUAUCUUUUCCUAUUCUGUUACACAUACAUCAUGUAUCAAUCACACAAAGUUGUAUUGUAGAGGGGAGCACGCCAGAGUCCUAUGUAAUUAUUCACAGCCUCACGAAAUACCGCAUAGUGUCCUCCUUUUUGGUGUUAUGGAUAUGGUCACCCUA
Molecule: long non-coding RNA, 1469 nt
Organism: Clupea harengus (Atlantic herring)
Lineage: Eukaryota; Metazoa; Chordata; Actinopteri; Clupeiformes; Clupeidae
Source: Ensembl